UUUACGGCCAUACCACACCCGAUCUCAUCUGAUCUCAGAAGCUAAGCAGGGUCGGGCCUGGUUAGUACUUGGAUGGGAGAAAGAAAGAAAGAAAGAAAGAA
RNAcentral lists this ribosomal RNA (101 nucleotides) under Octodon degus (degu). The record is from RNAcentral. Lineage: Eukaryota; Metazoa; Chordata; Mammalia; Rodentia; Octodontidae.